AUCACUUAUAGCUUAUUAUUUGUACUAAUAAAGUGUAUCUUCUGCAGAGCCUCAAACUGAGAAAGAGAGAAAGCCAGUAUGGGAGAAAACAAAACAGAACAGGAAGAGGAAAAAAUACAUCCAAAGGGCUGGUCACAAUGACUUGGCAGAUUUAGCAGCCACACUUUUACAUGUGCCUGGAGGUCCUCGCAAUUAAGUCUUCCCGAAAAUGUCAGUGCCUGCCCAGCCUGGCUUCAUCUGAAUAUCACUGUGAACUGAAUGCCAUCAAAGCGAUUGCUGAGAUUGGCAGAAGCAAUGGUGGCACCUGGUCAACCUCCAGCUUUAAAAAUCAAUGAGCAGCAGAAUAAUUACACUUUAUUGUACCUGCUAAUUUCUCCUGGAAAAU
RNAcentral lists this long non-coding RNA (385 nucleotides) under Numida meleagris (helmeted guineafowl). Its description in RNAcentral is "lncRNA (ENSNMEG00000016432.1)". The record is from RNAcentral. Lineage: Eukaryota; Metazoa; Chordata; Aves; Galliformes; Numididae.